This 356-nucleotide long non-coding RNA is filed under the name Mytilus galloprovincialis (Mediterranean mussel). The record is from RNAcentral. Lineage: Eukaryota; Metazoa; Mollusca; Bivalvia; Mytilida; Mytilidae.
AUAUGAAACCUCAAAUUAAAAAAAAAUAUGCAUAUGUUUUUUAAAACUAAAUGGAUAGUUUUCAUUAUACAACUUAUGUACAUAUACUUUAUUCUGAGGAAAAUUCUUUAAUUUGUCCACAUUUAGAAGAAGUUUACUUAUUUUUAAUUGCUUGCUGCCAGGAAGCAAUUUGCCGACAUAUUUUCCGUAUGCAUAGUGACCUAAGCGUGACCCUCCUCGUAAAAAUCCGGUGAUAGCAAUACGCAUGAAUCUGUCAUUAAAAUAAACAAUUACCAGAUUGUAUAUGUUAAACACGUGCUAAAUACCCAUGCUUUUUGUUGAUUAUUUACUAUAAGGUGACAAUCGGUAAACUACGG